GAUGAACGCUGGCGGCGUGCCUAAUACAUGCAAGUCGAGCGAACGGACGAGAAGCUUGCUUCUCUGAUGUUAGCGGCGGACGGGUGAGUAACACGUGGAUAACCUACCUAUAAGACUGGGAUAACUUCGGGAAACCGGAGCUAAUACCGGAUAAUAUUUUGAACCGCAUGGUUCAAAAGUGAAAGACGGUCUUGCUGUCACUUAUAGAUGGAUCCGCGCUGCAUUAGCUAGUUGGUAAGGUAACGGCUUACCAAGGCAACGAUGCAUAGCCGACCUGAGAGGGUGAUCGGCCACACUGGAACUGAGACACGGUCCAGACUCCUACGGGAGGCAGCAGUAGGGAAUCUUCCGCAAUGGGCGAAAGCCUGACGGAGCAACGCCGCGUGAGUGAUGAAGGUCUUCGGAUCGUAAAACUCUGUUAUUAGGGAAGAACAUAUGUGUAAGUAACUGUGCACAUCUUGACGGUACCUAAUCAGAAAGCCACGGCUAACUACGUGCCAGCAGCCGCGGUAAUACGUAGGUGGCAAGCGUUAUCCGGAAUUAUUGGGCGUAAAGCGCGCGUAGGCGGUUUUUUAAGUCUGAUGUGAAAGCCCACGGCUCAACCGUGGAGGGUCAUUGGAAACUGGAAAACUUGAGUGCAGAAGAGGAAAGUGGAAUUCCAUGUGUAGCGGUGAAAUGCGCAGAGAUAUGGAGGAACACCAGUGGCGAAGGCGACUUUCUGGUCUGUAACUGACGCUGAUGUGCGAAAGCGUGGGGAUCAAACAGGAUUAGAUACCCUGGUAGUCCACGCCGUAAACGAUGAGUGCUAAGUGUUAGGGGGUUUCCGCCCCUUAGUGCUGCAGCUAACGCAUUAAGCACUCCGCCUGGGGAGUACGACCGCAAGGUUGAGACUCAAAGGAAUUGACGGGGACCCGCACAAGCGAUGGAGCAUGUGGUUUAAUUCGAAGCAACGCGAAGAACCUUACCAAAUCUUGACAUCCUUUGACAACUCUAGAGAUAGAGCUUUCCCCUUCGGGGGACAAAGUGACAGGUGGUGCAUGGUUGUCGUCAGCUCGUGUCGUGAGAUGUUGGGUUAAGUCCCGCAACGAGCGCAACCCUUAAGCUUAGUUGCCAUCAUUAAGUUGGGCACUCUAAGUUGACUGCCGGUGACAAACCGGAGGAAGGUGGGGAUGACGUCAAAUCAUCAUGCCCCUUAUGAUUUGGGCUACACACGUGCUACAAUGGACAAUACAAAGGGCAGCGAAACCGUGAGGCCAAGCAAAUCCCAUAAAGUUGUUCUCAGUUCGGAUUGUAGUCUGCAACUCGACUACAUGAAGCUGGAAUCGCUAGUAAUCGUAGAUCAGCAUGCUACGGUGAAUACGUUCCCGGGUCU
This 1372-nucleotide ribosomal RNA is filed under the name uncultured bacterium. Its description in RNAcentral is "bacterial SSU rRNA". It matches the Rfam family "Bacterial small subunit ribosomal RNA", at positions 28 to 1381 of the family's 1533-position model. The record is from RNAcentral.